AAAUUGAAGAGUUUGAUCAUGGCUCAGAUUGAACGCUGGCGGCAGGCCUAACACAUGCAAGUCGAACGGUAACAGGAAGAAGCUUGCUUCUUUGCUGACGAGUGGCGGACGGGUGAGUAAUGUCUGGGAAACUGCCUGAUGGAGGGGGAUAACUACUGGAAACGGUAGCUAAUACCGCAUAACGUCGCAAGACCAAAGAGGGGGACCUUCGGGCCUCUUGCCAUCGGAUGUGCCCAGAUGGGAUUAGCUAGUAGGUGGGGUAACGGCUCACCUAGGCGACGAUCCCUAGCUGGUCUGAGAGGAUGACCAGCCACACUGGAACUGAGACACGGUCCAGACUCCUACGGGAGGCAGCAGUGGGGAAUAUUGCACAAUGGGCGCAAGCCUGAUGCAGCCAUGCCGCGUGUAUGAAGAAGGCCUUCGGGUUGUAAAGUACUUUCAGCGGGGAGGAAGGGAGUAAAGUUAAUACCU
This 471-nucleotide ribosomal RNA is filed under the name Escherichia coli. Its description in RNAcentral is "bacterial SSU rRNA". It matches the Rfam family "Bacterial small subunit ribosomal RNA", at positions 1 to 468 of the family's 1533-position model. Lineage: Bacteria; Pseudomonadati; Pseudomonadota; Gammaproteobacteria; Enterobacterales; Enterobacteriaceae. The record is from RNAcentral.